Molecule: ribosomal RNA, 253 nt
Filed under: uncultured bacterium
Lineage: Bacteria
Description: partial 16S ribosomal RNA
Rfam family: Bacterial small subunit ribosomal RNA
Source: RNAcentral
UACAGAGGUCUCGAGCGUUGUUCGGAUUCAUUGGGCGUAAAGGGUGCGUAGGUGGCUAGGUAAGUCGGAUGUGAAAUCCCGGGGCUCAACCCCGGAACUGCAUUCGAUACUGCCUGGCUAGAGUACUGGAGAGGAGAUUGGAAUUUACGGUGUAGCAGUGAAAUGCGUAGAUAUCGUAAGGAAGGCCAGUGGCGAAGGCGGAUCUCUGGACAGUUACUGACACUGAGGCACGAAGGCCAGGGGAGCAAACGGG